GGAGGGAUGGCCGAGUGGUUUAAGGCAACAGACUGUAAAUCUGUGAAUUACGUGUAAUUCUCGUAGGUUCGAGUCCUACUCCCUCCA
This 87-nucleotide transfer RNA is filed under the name Paralemanea sp. Its description in RNAcentral is "tRNA-Tyr". It matches the Rfam family "tRNA". From Rfam's summary of the family: Transfer RNA (tRNA) molecules are approximately 80 nucleotides in length. Their secondary structure includes four short double-helical elements and three loops (D, anti-codon, and T loops). Further hydrogen bonds mediate the characteristic L-shaped molecular structure. tRNAs have two regions of fundamental functional importance: the anti-codon, which is responsible for specific mRNA codon recognition, and the 3' end, to which the tRNAs corresponding amino acid is attached (by aminoacyl-tRNA synthetases). tRNAs cope with the degeneracy of the genetic code in two manners: having more than one tRNA (with a specific anti-codon) for a particular amino acid; and 'wobble' base-pairing, i.e. permitting non-standard base-pairing at the 3rd anti-codon position. The record is from RNAcentral. Lineage: Eukaryota; Rhodophyta; Florideophyceae; Batrachospermales; Lemaneaceae.